CUUUCGGGUCCCUAUUGCAGCCCCCAGAUGAGCCAGUAGUAUUUUCCUUAUAUGAUCGGGUCCCACUGCGGGCGGCGCAGCUUGCCCGGAGCCUGAGAGGAUUAUGAAAACGUGGCGAGCGAAGUGGGGCCAGGGGACCUGGAG
RNAcentral lists this small nucleolar RNA (144 nucleotides) under Cercocebus atys (sooty mangabey). RNAcentral's name for it is "small Cajal body-specific RNA 17 (ENSCATG00000015774.1)". It matches the Rfam family "small Cajal body-specific RNA 17". From Rfam's summary of the family: scaRNAs are a specific class of small nuclear RNAs which localise to the Cajal bodies and guide the modification of RNA polymerase II transcribed spliceosomal RNAs U1, U2, U4, U5 and U12. The complete human U12-22/U4-8 scaRNA is composed of two tandem C/D box domains (termed U12-22 and U4-8). The record is from Rfam by way of RNAcentral. Lineage: Eukaryota; Metazoa; Chordata; Mammalia; Primates; Cercopithecidae.